UCGCUAGUAAUCGCGAAUCAGCAUGUCGCGGUGAAUACGUUCCCGGGUCUUGUACACACCGCCCGUCACACCAUGGGAGUCGGAAAUGCCCGAAGCCAGUGACCCAACCUUUAAGGAGGGAGCUGUCGAAGGCAGGUCUGGUAACUGGGGUGAAGUCGUAACAAGGUAGC
This 170-nucleotide ribosomal RNA is filed under the name uncultured bacterium. RNAcentral's name for it is "partial 16S ribosomal RNA". It matches the Rfam family "Bacterial small subunit ribosomal RNA", at positions 1332 to 1500 of the family's 1533-position model. The record is from RNAcentral.